This 458-nucleotide ribosomal RNA is filed under the name Theileria annulata. RNAcentral's name for it is "SSU rRNA". It matches the Rfam family "Eukaryotic small subunit ribosomal RNA", at positions 486 to 984 of the family's 1831-position model. Lineage: Eukaryota; Apicomplexa; Aconoidasida; Piroplasmida; Theileriidae. The record is from RNAcentral.
CGGGGCUUAAAGUCUUGUAAUUGGAAUGAUGGGAAUUUAAUCCGCUUCCAGAGUAUCAAUUGGAGGGCAAGUCUGGUGCCAGCAGCCGCGGUAAUUCCAGCUCCAAUAGCGUAUAUUAAAAUUGUUGCAGUUAAAAAGCUCGUAGUUGAAUUUCUGCUGCAUUGCUUGUGUCCCUCUGGGGUCUGUGCAUGUGGCUUUUUUCGGACGGAGUUUCUUUGUCUGAAUGUUUACUUUGAGAAAAUUAGAGUGCUCAAAGCAGGCUUUCGCCUUGAAUAGUUUAGCAUGGAAUAAUAAAGUAGGACUUUGGUUCUAUUUUGUUGGUUUUAGGUACCAAAGUAAUGGUUAAUAGGAACAGUUGGGGGCAUUCGUAUUUAACUGUCAGAGGUGAAAUUCUUAGAUUUGUUAAAGACGAACUACUGCGAAAGCAUUUGCCAAGGAUGUUUUCAUUAAUCAAGAAC